This 224-nucleotide long non-coding RNA is filed under the name Elaeis guineensis (African oil palm). RNAcentral's name for it is "long non-coding RNA (EGUI_LNC021219)". Lineage: Eukaryota; Viridiplantae; Streptophyta; Magnoliopsida; Arecales; Arecaceae. The record is from RNAcentral.
CUCUUCAAGGGCUUGCACUUUCUCUCUCUUAAAAUUUUACUUCUCCUCUCUUCUUUCUCUCUUUAAAAUAUUCAUCUCUUUUCAUGGAUUUCUCUUUCUAAAAGUAAUCUCUUUAAGAUUAAUUGAGUAAAGAAUUUUUUUUUUGAUAAUUUUUGAUCCAGCUUAGUGAAGGUUCUAGAUCUAUAAUUGUCGAACAGUGUGUUGGCACCCACUUUGAUUAGAUC